CUCUGUUUCAGCAAAUGACUCAGGGCAAAGGAG
Non-coding RNA from Enterococcus italicus DSM 15952, 33 nucleotides. The record is from Rfam. NCBI's taxonomy places the organism in Bacteria, Bacillati, Bacillota, Bacilli, Lactobacillales, Enterococcaceae.